UACGUAGGGCGCAAGCGUUGUCCGGAAUUAUUGGGCGUAAAGAGCUCGUAGGCGGUCUGUCGCGUCUGCUGUGAAAUCUCAGGGCUUAACCCUGAGCUUGCAGUGGGUACGGGCAGACUAGAGUGCGGUAGUGGAGACUGGAAUUCCUGGUGUAGCGGUGAAAUGCGCAGAUAUCAGGAGGAACACCGAUUGCGAAGGCAGCUCGCUGGGACGUAACUGACGCUGAGACGCGAAAGCGUGGGGAGCAAACAGG
RNAcentral lists this ribosomal RNA (253 nucleotides) under uncultured bacterium. RNAcentral describes it as "partial 16S ribosomal RNA". It matches the Rfam family "Bacterial small subunit ribosomal RNA", at positions 524 to 776 of the family's 1533-position model. The record is from RNAcentral.